AUACCUUUCUCGACCUUUUGUUGCUAAGAUCAAGUGUAGUAUUUGUUCUUAUCAGUUUAAUAUCUUAUAUGUGCGUAAUUGACCCAUACGAUAUUAAAUCUAUUAUAUGAGGGGGUAGGUCCAUUGGCCUGGAACACCCCACCAAUUAUAGUGCUAAAUUUAUAUAAUUUCAUUUGAUAUGUAAUAAGGUUC
Molecule: small nuclear RNA, 192 nt
Filed under: Solanum tuberosum (potato)
Lineage: Eukaryota; Viridiplantae; Streptophyta; Magnoliopsida; Solanales; Solanaceae
Description: U2 spliceosomal RNA
Rfam family: U2 spliceosomal RNA
About the family: U2 is a small nuclear RNA (snRNA) component of the spliceosome (involved in pre-mRNA splicing). Complementary binding between U2 snRNA (in an area lying towards the 5' end but 3' to hairpin I) and the branchpoint sequence (BPS) of the intron results the bulging out of an unpaired adenosine, on the BPS, which initiates a nucleophilic attack at the intronic 5' splice site, thus starting the first of two transesterification reactions that mediate splicing.
Source: Rfam by way of RNAcentral